Molecule: ribosomal RNA, 491 nt
Filed under: uncultured archaeon
Lineage: Archaea
Description: bacterial SSU rRNA
Rfam family: Archaeal small subunit ribosomal RNA
Source: RNAcentral
UGCGAGUCGAGAGGCGUUAUGGCCUCGGCGGACUGCUCAGUAACACGUGGAUAACCUACCCAAGAGUCCGGGAUAACCCCGGGAAACUGGGGAUAAUACCGGAUAGAUCAAACAGGCUGGAAGGCGGUUUGGUUGAAACUUCCGGGGCUUUUGGAUGGGUCUGCGGCUGAUUAGGUUGUUGCCGGUGUAACGUACCGUCAAGCCUGUAAUCAGUACGGGUUGUGGGAGCAAGAGCCCGGAGAUGGAUUCUGAGACACGAAUCCAGGCCCUACGGGGCGCAGCAGGCGCGAAAACUCUACAAUGCAGGCAACUGCGAUAGGGGAACAUCGAGUGGCAUCCAUAUUGGGUGUCUGUCCACCCGCCUAAAAAGCGGGUGUUAGCAAGGGCCGGGCAAGACCGGUGCCAGCCGCCGCGGUAAUACCGGCGGCUCGAGUGGUGGCCGAUAUUAUUGAGUCUAAAGGGUCCGUAGCCGGCUUUGCAAGUCUCUCGGG